This 264-nucleotide ribosomal RNA is filed under the name uncultured bacterium. RNAcentral's name for it is "partial 16S ribosomal RNA". It matches the Rfam family "Bacterial small subunit ribosomal RNA", at positions 30 to 295 of the family's 1533-position model. The record is from RNAcentral.
CUGAACGCUGGCGGCGUGGUUAAGACAUGCAAGUCGAACGGGCCUAGCAAUAGGUCAGUGGCGGACGGGUGAGUAAUGUAUCGCUAACGUACCCUAGAGCCUGGGAGUAGCUGCCCGAAACGGGACGAGGUAAUACCAGAUGAAAUAACCUUGAUCGCAUGAUUGAGGUCUCAAAGCAGCAAUGCACUCCUGGAGCGGGCGAUAUCGUAUCAGCUAGNGGUUGAGGUAACGGCUCACCAAGGCGACGACGCGUAGCCGGGCUGA